RNAcentral lists this ribosomal RNA (326 nucleotides) under uncultured eukaryote. RNAcentral describes it as "partial 18S ribosomal RNA". It matches the Rfam family "Eukaryotic small subunit ribosomal RNA", at positions 1470 to 1796 of the family's 1831-position model. The record is from RNAcentral.
CCCUUAGAUGUUCUGGGCCGCACGCGCGCUACACUGAUGCAUUCAACGAGCCUAGCCUUGACCGAGAGGUCCGGGUAAUCUUUGAAACUGCAUCGUGAUGGGGCUAGAUUAUUGCAAUUAUUAAUCUUCAACGAGGAAUGCCUAGUAAGCGUGAUUCAUCAAAUCGCGUUGAUUACGUCCCUGCCCUUUGUACACACCGCCCGUCGCUCCUACCGAUUGAGUGUGUUGGUGAGGAGUUCGGAUUGGCUCUUAGUGGUGGUUCGCCACCACCUAGAGCUGAGAAGUCCUCCAAACCGCCCCACUUAGAGGAAGGAGAAGUCGUAACA